Long non-coding RNA from Pogoniulus pusillus (Red-fronted tinkerbird), 466 nucleotides. RefSeq lists it as uncharacterized. The transcript has 4 exons. The record is from RefSeq and is a predicted model, not a curated record. NCBI's taxonomy places the organism in Eukaryota, Metazoa, Chordata, Aves, Piciformes, Lybiidae.
GCAAGGUGCUGCUCUUGCCCACACUGCCUUGGUUAUGGAAUCCCAAAAAGCUGACAUGGACACUGCCAUGGGAAGGUUUCUCAGACUACGCAGAGAUCAAAUCCUGGAGGGAAUUAACUGCUUGUUAGAAAUGGGAGGAAGGCUCCAGCUGCAGGUAUUGAAUUCAUCUCAGAUUGCUGCUAGCUCGUUAAAACUGGAGGAGAACACAGAACUCAUGUGUCUGCUUCUGGCUCAGAAACCUAAAGGACAGAGAAUUCUUCAAGAGAGUUACAGCCUGAUGGAUGUCCCAAGAAGCAUCUCCCAUCCCUCCUCACCAGAUAACCUUUCAGAACUUCUUUCCAUGUCAACUUUGGACCUCUGACAUCAUUCCUAAAGGGGCAGUGCUGAUAAGAAUUCAUGACCUGCACCUCCUGGUCUGGGUGCUGCAGCUGUUGCUCAAGAGCAGACAAGAGGACAGACAGUAAAA